UCCUGUUAACAAUUUCAGAGGUGUUGGUUGGCAUGCAGCUUGUGUGGGCCGAGGUGAAGCACGCUUUAGUCUGUCCCUCAGAAGUUGUUGCCGCCCUCCUCGCUGCCACCGCCGGAGACAAAACAUGGUGGUAAGCCUCCCCACCUCUUAGUUCUUCCCUUUGCUUUGGACAAUUUAUGUACAUGUUAUUACUGUUUAUAAACAUCUUCUGUUGUUAUUGCUGAUAAUCUUGACUUUUCCGGUGUUCAUGGAGGUAACUAAGGUAUAUCUGUGCUGUAGUCAACAAGGGGGCCUACCUAUGAUGCCCAUGCAGUUAAAAAUGUUUGCAGGCCAUCCUAUGAUGUCAGGUUGGAGGCCUACUUAUGAUGUCAGGUUGUUGUACAUUGAAAUUUUGUGGGAUAUUUCUUGCAGAUUGGGAGUUUAUGUUUUUCUCUGUUAGCUUUUAAGAUUGUUGUAGUUAAAACAUGAGAUGGAAGCCUCAGAUUGAAUACUGAGCUAUGUUACAGAAUUACAGUAGUGGCUACCUUCUACAUCAGCCUUUGUUCAAAUAGUCUAUUUUAUAUGUUCGUUCAUGGAAGUUGAUUAUCCUCGCAUACAACUACCCUCAGCUCAGGAAGCCUCAGAUUGAAUACAGAGCUAUGUUGCCAAGGAUUUAGAAGGAAUUAUUUGAUCCUGUUCUGAAAUACUUUUUAAUGCUUAUAUUUGGAUGGGCAUGAUGUGGUGCAUGUUCCACCGAUUCUGGAAGCACACAGUUGAAUGGAAU
RNAcentral lists this long non-coding RNA (763 nucleotides) under Triticum aestivum (bread wheat). RNAcentral describes it as "long non-coding RNA (TAES_LNC020969)". The record is from RNAcentral. Lineage: Eukaryota; Viridiplantae; Streptophyta; Magnoliopsida; Poales; Poaceae.